RNAcentral lists this ribosomal RNA (465 nucleotides) under uncultured bacterium. RNAcentral's name for it is "partial 16S ribosomal RNA". It matches the Rfam family "Bacterial small subunit ribosomal RNA", at positions 338 to 795 of the family's 1533-position model. The record is from RNAcentral.
CCUACGGGAGGCAGCAGUGGGGAAUUUUGCGCAAUGCUCGUAAGAGUGACGCAGCGACGCCGCGUGAAUGACGAAGGCCUUCGGGUCGUAAAGUUCUUUCGACAGGGAAGAAAAUGCCUAUAAGUAACUGUGUAUGUAUUGACGGUACCUGUAUAAGCAGCCCUGGCUAACUCCGUGCCAGCAGCCGCGGUAAUACGGAGGGGGCGAGCGUUGUUCGGAGUGACUGGGCGUAAAGAGCACGUAGGCGGUGUUGUAAGUCAUUAGUCAAAGACUAGAGCUCAACUUUAGUAAGGCUAGUGAUACUAUAAUACGAGAGUAUCAGAGAGGAUUGCAGAAUUCCUGGGGUAGCGGUGAAAUGCGUAGAUAUCAGGAGGAAUACCGUUAGCGAAGGCGGCAAUCUGGCUGGAAACUGACGCUGAGGUGCGAAAGCGUGGGUAGCAAACAGGAUUAGAUACCCCAGUAGUC